AACGCACAUUGCGCCCCCUGGCAUUCCGGGGGGCAUGCCUGUCCGAGCGUCAUUUCUGCCCUCAAGCACGGCUUGUGUGUUGGGUGUGGUCCCCCCGGGGACCUGCCCGAAAGGCAGCGGCGACGUCACGUCUGGUCCUCGAGCGUAUGGGGCUUUGUCACCCGCUCGGGAGGGGCCUGCGGGCGUUGGUCACCAACGAUUAUUUUCAAGGUUGACCUCGGAUCAGGUAGGAGUUACCCGCUGAACUUAA
RNAcentral lists this unclassified non-coding RNA (250 nucleotides) under uncultured Eurotiales. RNAcentral describes it as "sequence contains 5.8S rRNA gene, ITS2, 28S rRNA gene". Lineage: Eukaryota; Fungi; Ascomycota; Eurotiomycetes; Eurotiales. The record is from RNAcentral.